This 492-nucleotide ribosomal RNA is filed under the name uncultured bacterium. RNAcentral's name for it is "partial 16S ribosomal RNA". It matches the Rfam family "Bacterial small subunit ribosomal RNA", at positions 29 to 507 of the family's 1533-position model. The record is from RNAcentral.
AGUGAACGCUGGCGGUAGGCCUAACACAUGCAAGUCGAACGGCAGCACAGUAAGAGCUUGCUCUUACGGGUGGCGAGUGGCGGACGGGUGAGGAAUACAUCGGAAUCUACUUUUUCGGGGGGGAUAACGUAGGUAAACUUACGCUAAUACCGCAGACGACCUACGGGUGAAAGCAGGGGAUCUUCUGACCUUGCGCGAUUGAAUGAGCCGAUGUCGGGUUAGCUAGUUGGCGGGGUAAAGGCCCACCAAGGCGACGAUCCGUAGCUGGUCUGAGGGGAUGAUCAGCCACACUGGAACUGAGACACGGUCCAGACUCCUACGGGAGGCAGCAGUGGGGAAUAUUGGACAAUGGGCGCAAGCCUGAUCCAGCCAUACCGCGUGGGUGAAGAAGGCCUUCGGGUUGUAAAGCCCUUUUGUUGGGAAAGAAAAGCAGCAGGUUAAUACCCCGCUGUUCUGACGGUACCCAAAGAAUAAGCACCGGCUAACUUCGUG